This is a long non-coding RNA of Oncorhynchus keta (chum salmon), 390 nucleotides long. RefSeq lists it as uncharacterized. The record is from RefSeq and is a predicted model, not a curated record. The transcript has 3 exons. Lineage: Eukaryota; Metazoa; Chordata; Actinopteri; Salmoniformes; Salmonidae.
GCUGUGUGAGAGGUUGAAGGCUCUGAAUACUGUAUGACUCUGAUGGGAGGCUGCGUGAGAGGUUGAAGGCUCUGAAUACUGCAUGACUCUGAUGGGAGGCUGUGUGAGAGGUUGAAGGCUCUGAAUACUGUAUGACUCUGAUGGGAGGCUGUGUGAGAGGUUGAAGGCUCGGAAUACUGUAUGACUCUGAUGGGAGGCUGUGUGAGAGGUUGAAGGCUCGGAAUACUGUAUGACUCUGAUGGGAGGCUAUGUGAGAGGUUGAAGGCUCGGAAUACUGCAUGACUCUGAUGGGAGGCUUCAUGUUGUGAUUAAAGGGAAUGGCUCCUUCCUUCUCCCUUGUUUCUCCCUCCUUCUCCUCCUUUCCAACCUCUUUCCUGCCUCAUUUCUCAC